UGAGCAUAUUAAGCUCACCUUAUUUAUUAUUCAUUUCUUCCAGAUCAGAAUAUUCAAAACUCCGCUCCUGAACAGUAAAAGACUUGUUACAAGAUCGUUUAAUUUUUAUUUUAAUUUGAACAGUACUUAAUGUUAAUUAUUUUAUUUUUAGUGAGUAUUUAUUUUAGAGUUUAGACAUGUCUCAUAGAUAUUGGAUAUUUUGAGCUAAGUAUGCAAGAAAUGUACUUUUUAUUAUUUUAAAAUUUGCUACAUGAAGUAUUCCUAUAGAUUAUUUUAUCAUGAUAUGGUGUGCGUAUGGUGAAGACUCUAGAUGUGAGUUCGGACUGUCACAAUUGGUAUCAGAG
Molecule: long non-coding RNA, 344 nt
Filed under: Carica papaya (papaya)
Lineage: Eukaryota; Viridiplantae; Streptophyta; Magnoliopsida; Brassicales; Caricaceae
Description: long non-coding RNA (CPAP_LNC008897)
Source: RNAcentral